GCCAGGAAGAGGAAGCGAGAGAGGGUCUAAGAACAGUAGGAAUGGGAACAUGAAGGAAAGCCCAACUCUAUUUUCUCCUCUAACAUUAGAGGUGGCUAUUUAGUUUGAUGUUUUCCUGAUGCCUCCCAUGCCUAUGGUUCUUAGAUGCUCCUUCCUCUUCCUUUUGGCC
RNAcentral lists this microRNA precursor (169 nucleotides) under Brachypodium distachyon (stiff brome). RNAcentral's name for it is "MIR2118 microRNA precursor family". It matches the Rfam family "MIR2118 microRNA precursor family". Lineage: Eukaryota; Viridiplantae; Streptophyta; Magnoliopsida; Poales; Poaceae. The record is from Rfam by way of RNAcentral.